Molecule: small nucleolar RNA, 135 nt
Organism: Hyaena hyaena (striped hyena)
Lineage: Eukaryota; Metazoa; Chordata; Mammalia; Carnivora; Hyaenidae
Source: RefSeq, a predicted model, not a curated record
GGGUCCAUCCUAAUCCCUGCCGGUCAGCCUGUGGCCUGGUGGGUUCCGCCUGUAGACCAGCACACUCUAGAAGCCUCACCCAGAGAAGUGGGCAAAUCCUCAGUAGGCUUGUGCCAGGGGUGCUUCUAGUCACUC